GGGCGCAGUGGGAGCAGAGGCGGCGGGCGGCUGCGCCCCCACAAAGGCGCGUCUCUGGCCGAGGCUGGCGGCGGGGCGCCGCGGGCAAAGCUGAGGCUUUGACCUGGGCGCACGCUGGAAACGCCCGCCUCAUCGUCGCUGGAUAUACCCACCACGUUACCCAGGCUGGGGCCAUCUGGGCAGGGACACCAGCCUCGGCGAAGACCUUGGGCGACUUCAAAGCGCAGGCACCUCGAUUCCCCGAAUCUAUGUUGUGUGGCGGGUAUCGGUGUUCCCCUGUUUUAACUAGCCUGUUUGAAGGCGCAGAUCCUUCUUGGGGAAGUCUCACUGAAACCAGGUCUCCCUGCUCUCCCAGGGGCUUCGGUUUUCCCAGUCUGCCUCUGCUUGUGACUCCAGAAAGACAAACUUCCGAUUGGCCAAGAGAAUCCACACUUCUUGGUUUCCACUGGGCCCAAUGUAAAUGCCAUCUCCUCCAGGAAGCUUUUCCAGCAACCAGGGCUAGAGGCGGAAGGACCCUGUCAUCCCAAAGGUAGCAGACCUUCAUCGCCAAGGCUUCAGGGAAGGCUCCCUGGCUGGACAGCGCGCGCGAGGGCUCUGUGUCGCCGGUGUGGGAUGGAGAGGGGGAGACCUAGCCCGGCCUGGCCUCCCCUGGGCCCUCAGCCUCCCGAGCUCCAGAGCUGGCGUGGCGGGCUCCGGCUCCCUCCCGCUGGUUUCUCUAAGCCUGGUUUGCGCAUCUGACCAAUGCGGCAGCGACGCCGGCCGCGGGGCGCGCGGCAGAUAGGUGAGAUCAAGGCGCACACGGGGCUGGAUGCCCGACACACCCGGGCUGCGCGCAAUAAACGUGUGUGUCUUUUCCUGCCUCUCGCGUUUCUCGCCCUCUCUUCCAGCUACCGGGACCUGGCCGGACAGCCGAGGGCCGGGUGGCAUCGGAGGGCGCUUCCGGAGUUCAGGCCGCAGCCUCAGGGGUGUCACGGCGCGGGGCCGCACGCAAUGGAGACCUGCUCGGCUCCGGGGCUUUUCGCCCCCGGCAGGCAGGAAGGGGUUAACGGAGCCCCUCCCCCGCCCGCGCCAGAGUCCCCCGCGCUUUCCUCCCGAGGUCUCAUUAGGGAACCCUCCCCGCUAUUUUCAACAUUUCCUCAAUCAAGGCCCUUUAAAUAGAGCUGCGCAAACAAAUUGGCGGCAAAAGCGUAGAUCUUGUCACGAUUGAGACCAAUCCAAUAUUUCAGCCUUGUUUGCUUUGCAAUUACGGGUAGGCUUGUGGCUGCGAUGCCACCGGGGCAAAUCUGCCGCCGCCCGCUUUCUCUAUGGACCUGGCGGUGGAGGAAAGAUCCUCGGAGCCGCCGCGGGGAGGUGGGGGGGGGGCGUCGCGGCCGGGAACGGGGAGGAGAGAGCGGGCGGGGAGGGGACCCGGGCGGCCGAGGCUUUCCAGCCCCCGGUGCCAGGAGCGCGGAGCCUAGUUAAAGGGCUUCAUCCUGGCCAGCGGCCGGCGUGCCCACAGUAGUGAUACACUGUGCGGUGCUCAUGUGGAGCCCUUGGUGUACCUCUCCCCAGCUUCCUUUCUUCCCUUUUCCACCCAAUGAUGCCCUUUCUCUCCAGUAUUGGUUAGCCAUUCCCGGAUUCUCUCUCUGUCUCGCUCUCUCUGUCUCUCUCUCUCGAUGUUAAACCUGUUAGCACGCUGUUCUGUUUUCUGUGGCUGCUUACUCUUGUUUGACGUUUUGUACAAAGUCACUUCAAAUCGGCUGCAGGAGGAAUAAAACUCCAAGCCCUUGGGCUGGGCUCCCUCGGGUGUGCGGCCGCUCCAGUCCUCCAGUAACCCGCGGGCCACCUUCGCAAGUGGCAGCGCCCGGCGAGUUCGGCCACCACAGGCCAGCCUCGUUGGAGUCGGCAGAACAGUAGUUAACUUGAAUAAGGUCCUAAGUCUUAUAUUUCACAGACAAUUAAAUCUUGGCUGCUGUUUAACAAAAUUGUAAUAUUUACUGUGCUCCAUACCGAGGAGCACUUUUAAAGUCGAAAACAAAUACUACAUUUUAAAAAGAAAAAUAUGAUAAUAAAUCUCUUUUUAUGGAUUCUCUCUGCAUAAGAGGGAAACAACAUGAUUUAACUCCUCGACACCCCCACCUCCUUUCAGGCGCAGCUGAAGUUACACAGUUACCGUCUUUUAACCCACAUUCUCUGUGUCUGGUGGGGGGGGGAGGCACCUGCAUUUGUUACGUUCCAGUUUCCAAGAUUUCACACCCCACCCUGACCCUUGUAACUGAAUGCAACAAGGAUUAUAAUAUAAUUAGGUCUGGGAUGUGAGGCCCAUUUCCAUGUGGAUUCAAAAAACGUGGGCAUGAUGGGCAAUUAAUUUAUAGUUUCAUAUUACUUUAUAAAUGACUACCCAUUUUCUUCUCAUGUCCAGGUGGGACGGUUGAGGCAGAGAAAUAUUUUUAAAAGUCUCUGGGGUAUAUAUUAAAAUAUGCUUCUUUAUUAUUCAAAAAUGAAUAAGGUGUGGACCUACGUUUGUUUGCUGGUGGUUAUAAAAGAAAUGCCUAGCUGUUCUUGCCAAGUAGCAAUCUCUUUUAUGCUUUAUUUAUUUAUUUAUUUAUUGGUUUAUAAUCCCACCUUCGCUCUUCUGGAUUGUCCUCCUGUUGUCAUGUUUUGGUUCUCAAUUUUACUUAAAGAAAACCCCAGAAGUGGUGGUUUCCUAAAAUUGUGUGAUGACAAAGCCACAGAAUAAUAUUUCAGAUCCAUGAGUCAUGCACAACCAUGCGUAUUGCUCAUGCAGUUUCCUAGCCGAUUGCUAUAGUAUUUCUACAAGAAUAGAAAGCAGUAGCUAGAAAGGGUACCAUUUCGUAAGAAUUCUCUCUUCACCCAAAUAAUUAGUCUGACGUAUUAUUCAAUGCAGAAAUUGUAUUACUUUCAUGUGUGUUAAUCUGUUUAGUAUUAAAACUGCUAGAAUGUUUUAACCAUUAACAUGUUUUGCCACACCACUUUCAAAUGCGUGAUCUCAGAUAAUUACGAAGAUUUUGAUGUUAAUCCCAUGUUAAGUGAACAACUAUGAAAAUACCCUGAAAGCAUUAUUAUGCUUAUAUAAAUGCCAGCAAACACAAUUGUACAAAGAACACAGAUUUCUUUUUAUCUGACAUUAUCCUAUAGGGAUAUGCAUUCAUUUCUUUCAAAAUUAGAGCAGUUUUCUAUUACUUUUUAACAGAUUUUUUUCCAACACAGCAUUUUGCCAUGACUAUAAACCACAACAACUUUGUUACUGACAGAUAGAUAUUUUUCUUUCAUUGUUAUUCAUUAGCUUCUUUGCAAACUCACUAAAAUAGAAUAAUAUACAAAAAUAUCAAAAUAAAGAGAAUAACUAUUAGGGUCUACAUAUUUAUUUAGGUAGGCUAAUGUUAUUAAAAUUAAAAACAUGUGCCUGGCAUAUAAAUGUUACUUAAAGAAUUCUUUUUUGGAUGCAGAGUUAUUAUUUAAACCAACUCAGAAUUUUCAAGUACUGAUUUUUCCCUCUAAACAGGCAUUGCAUUGUUUUAAACAGUAGCUCCUGGAACCACCCUUAGUAUUUUAGACUUCCAAACAACAAUUGCAAUUGAAUAAAUACCUUCAGCUGGGAGCACUUCCCUAAUACCUUUGCAGGAAAUAAGAGUCCCUGCUUCUACUGGGUGACAAAGAGGCAGUGCACUUGUGCAAGGGCAGAACUUACCAAAAAAUGGAGUUUUCCUUUAAGAUUGCUAUGGUCCAUCUAAAAAAAAAUAGUGAAGAUGUGAAAUCAGAGAAAAUGAGUAAGUGCUUUUUUCUCGUUACAGUUGUGAAACGAUGGCUUAAGGAGGGAUGCAAAAUAAGAGCCAGGAGGCAUGCAGUAACAUAAAAUCUGAAAAAGAAAGUUUUCUCAAGCAGGCUCUGGCUCUUGGUCUAUAAAUAGGAGAGGGAUGUAUUGGAUCUGCAUAACCCAUUUUCUUUUCUUUUUUCAUUUUUUUUUCAAUUCAGUGACUCCCCCCCCCUUCUUUUCUUUUUCUUUUUUUCUGCACUCAUUGCCAUUCAGGGAACAGAAGUUCCUCGGCCAGGGAUCGAACCCAUGCUAUGGCUGUAACCAGAGCCACAGCAGUGACAUGCCAGAUCCUUAACCUGCCGAGCCACGAGUAAUUUUUAAAAGAGAUUUUUCACUGGGUGAGGAAGCCCUAUCAAGGAAAUAUAUGUGAAUUCUGACAUAUGGAGAAAAACUAGCUACCUUGAUUUUUAAUAUUUGAUUAAAAUAUUAAGCCACUAUACUAUUGUUCUUUCUAAAUGAAGGCAUGUUGUCACAACUGGUGUCAAAAAGCAUUGGUUUCACCCCCCCCAAAUUGUUGUUAAAGUAAUAAAGUUAUAUCCAUGAAAUGAUUUCCAUGAAUCCCAACUUGCUGCAAAAAGGUGAAAAAAACUUUUCUGGAAGAAAGCAGGCAACUUUGUUAUUGGUCUGGGAUAAAUAAAGCAAGAAACUGCCUCUUAUAUUCAUAGUAAUUCAUUCUGCUUUUUCAAACAUUGUUCUUGUUAUCUUGUGCUAUUCACGUAAUGCUGGUGUCAGCAAUAAAAAAA
RNAcentral lists this long non-coding RNA (4560 nucleotides) under Sus scrofa (pig). RNAcentral's name for it is "lncRNA (ENSSSCG00030028776.1, ENSSSCG00060056773.1)". The record is from RNAcentral. Lineage: Eukaryota; Metazoa; Chordata; Mammalia; Artiodactyla; Suidae.